CGCGUGAAGUAGACCGCCUGGGGAGUACGGUCGCAAGACUAAAACUCAAAUGAAUUGACGGGGGUCCGCACAAGCGGUGGAUUAUGUGGAUUAAUUCGAUGCAACGCGAAAAACCUUACCUGGCCUUGACAUGUACCGAAUUUACCAGAGAUGGUUUAGUGCUCGAUAGAGAACGGUAACACAGGUGCUGCAUGGCUGUCGUCAGCUCGUGUCGUGAGAUGUUGGGUUAAGUCCCGCAACGAGCGCAACCCUUGCCAUUAAUUGCCAUCAUUUAGUUGGGCACUUUAAUGGGACUGCCGGUGACAAACCGGAGGAAGGUGGGGAUGACGUCAAGUCCUCAUGGCCCUUAUGGCCAGGGCUUCACACGUAAUACAAUGGUCAGUACAGAGGGUUGCCAACCCGCGAGGGGGAGCCAAUCCCAGAAAGCCGAUCGUAGUCCGGAUUGUAGUCUGCAACUCGACUACAUGAAGUCGGAAUCGCUAGUAAUCGCGGAUCACCAUGUCGCGGUGAAUACGUUCCCGG
RNAcentral lists this ribosomal RNA (522 nucleotides) under uncultured beta proteobacterium. Its description in RNAcentral is "bacterial SSU rRNA". It matches the Rfam family "Bacterial small subunit ribosomal RNA", at positions 856 to 1377 of the family's 1533-position model. Lineage: Bacteria; Pseudomonadati; Pseudomonadota; Betaproteobacteria. The record is from RNAcentral.